UACGUAGGUGGCAUGCGUUGUCCGGAAUUAUUGGGCGUAAAGCGCGCGCGGGCGGUUCCUUAAGUCUGAUGUGAAAGCCCACGGCUCAACCGUGGAGGGUCAUUGGAAACUGGGGAACUUGAGGACAGAAGAGGAGAGUGGAAUUCCACGUGUAGCGGUGAAAUGCGUAGAUAUGUGGAGGAACACCAGUGGCGAAGGCGACUCUCUGGUCUGUUUCUGACGCUGAGGUGCGAAAGCGUGGGUCUCGAACCGG
RNAcentral lists this unclassified non-coding RNA (253 nucleotides) under uncultured Bacillaceae bacterium. RNAcentral describes it as "contains 16S-23S intergenic spacer region". It matches the Rfam family "Bacterial small subunit ribosomal RNA", at positions 524 to 776 of the family's 1533-position model. Lineage: Bacteria; Bacillati; Bacillota; Bacilli; Caryophanales; Bacillaceae. The record is from RNAcentral.